CCGACCGCGACGCCCGUACGCUCGGCGCCGCGACGCCCACCUCCGAACAUCGCGAAAAAAGUUUACACACGAAACUUUCCAAAAGACUUUCCUUUCAACCCGAACGUUGUUGAACUGGAACCGUCUACACCCUGCUAAAGCGCGAAGUGACCCUUCAGCAAACCGGAUCGGCAAUAUCACCCAAACGGGUUUAGUGUCGGACCCGGGACCCUGCCGUGCCAGGACUUUCGUGAAGUGCUAACUUGAUUUUCAGAGUGCAGUGUUCAGUGUAAGUGACUGGAUUUUCGAUCUUGUCCCAUUUAAGGAAGACUGGACUGAUUCAAGAACAGUUCUUAAGGUCGGCGACUGCAACCGUGCUGUUAAAAGUUUCAAGCAUGCCGCCCCCUGGUUCGUGAACAUGAGCAGCCGUCCGGCGGGGGGGCAGCGCUGCCAGCUGAUCCUGCAGCGUUGCCUCGCCAUCCACCUCGCCAAGCCCGGCAACGCGCCUGAUGACUUCUGGAUGUACGACUCUGGCUACUUGCUCUUCCAGAGUUUCCUGGCAGCAAACGCGAAAUGCUGGUGGGCUGGGGCGUUGGCCGCGGCGACGGCGGAGCUUCGAUACGCGGGAUACGUGGCCCCGGGAGUCCUCUUGGUCGCGGGGGCCCCAAGAGCCCUCGAGACCGUGCGCGGGGCCUACUCGCGCUCCGUGCUCAAGCCCCCACCGACUUACCUCAUCUGUGGACUUGGUGACAUAGAAGACUGCAUAGUAACACCAGCAUACCAGGGGCAGUUCACACCACUGCCUGAAGCGCUCUGUGACUGCAUCAUGGACCUAACGUCACAGGGGCAAUCAGCGACAUUGGAGAGCAUAAGAACAUCCCUGUCAGCGAAGUUCCCGGCAAUGCAGACGCCAUCACAGGAGGUGGUCUACGACACCCUGGCUCAACUGAUGCAGGAGCGCAAGAUAUACCAGACGUCUAGAGGGUUCUUCAUAGUCACGCCUGAACGCCGGCGCUCCCGGUCUCGCUCGUCUUCCCGGCACCACUCCAACGGCAUGGAAGAAGACUGCCCUUCCCCAAGGACCAUCCUGAUGUCGGAUCAGGAAGCUUUACACCAGCUCUAUGGGGAGAUCACCACCGUCAGAGAUGGAGCCGUCACGCACCAAUGCGUCCAGACUAAUUUGGCCGAUGUCAUUUGUGGUGGGAACCCAAACGACAAGAUACUCUACGGGCGGCCAAACAAGCGUCGCAGCGCGUCUUUCCCCGCCCCCCGCUCGCUGGACCGGCGCCACUCUCUCCGGAUCUUCGGCUCCUCGUCCAAAUACCUCCAGCGCUGCGCAUCCACCAGGAGUCUCCACCAUAAGCAUGCUAAUACAACCGACAGCUCGUCUUCCACCGAUUACCCGCCCAGCGUCGAAUCUGCAUCGCCUAAGAAAGUGUCCCUGCUGUCCCGCUUAUUCAGACGAAGCGGCCGCAGCAAACAGACGCGCGCGAUGAGCACAUUCUCUGCGCAGUUCCCGCCCACGGAGUGGUUCAACUCCAAGGCGGUGCACCUCCACUGUGUCGCCACGCAGACCAAUUCAAAGGAGUCGUUGCAGAGUCAAACAUCCUACGUGUCAUCGUAUUAUGACGGUUCAGAGAUCAGUAAUCGGUCGUCGACGCUGCCGCGGAGGCACAAGCGCCACCUCUCCACCGAGUCCGGCCUCGCAGGCUCUGUCCACUAUGACCAUUCGCCCAUCAGACAGUCCAGCCCUAGCUCCGGCAGUCUUCCACGGUCAACGCUGAGUAGAAGUUCCACCAACAAGACAAUCCUUGACCAUUUUGGAUCACCGCAACGGGGCAGUGACCCUAAACUCAGAGACAGCCCCAGCGGAAGCCUACGUAGGGUCGACUACUCCCAUUCAGAUCACAUAAUGUCCACCAGCGGACCAUCUAGCUUAGAAAGUACAACCACGCAACGCACACCUAGAAAGGACAAAACCCAAUCAGAUCAGAACUCGCCCAUGAAAAGGAGCUACCACACAAACAGCAGCAGUGGCCACUCCAGUUUAGAAUCGCACAUAUCAGAUCGCACACUGAAGCCUUCUCCUAGUCAUAACACGCAUAGCGCACCAGGUUUAAGCAGAGCACAAUCACUUGUCAAAGUUCAGAGCUUACAAAGCUCUCCAAAAAGUCUGCACAAAUACAGAACAAAACCACCCAUGGUUGGAGGCGAAACGGUAAAAAACGGUAAAAACACUUCACCCAAAACAUCGCCAAAAAACUGCCCGAGCACCCCAAAAAAAACCGCGACCCCUUUGCAUAAUAAAACAUUAGGAAACAAAGUUGAAAACCCUACAAUGAUGGCGACAUCCAAUUCGAAUAAUUCGAUCACUUUAAAAGUUACCACGAACACGAUAUCACAGAACGGCGGUACGAACACCAAAGUUUAUGUACAAAAUUCACCAGUAAGAUCCGUCAUCACGUUUGAGAAUGGUAAAGUCACGGAGACUAGCAACGGAAGCAACAUUUACAUCAUCAACGACGACAGACAAGUUGUGUCUGUCCAGAAUGGGGUUACGAAUCAAACGAGCAAGAAUCCGACCGAAACAUCGUUCGAUGUUUGUGUGGAGAAAAACAAACAGAAGUUCCAGGAACCGGAACCGAUUAAAGUUCAGGAAAAUAAAUUCAACAAGAAUUCGAUGAACGAUACGGGUAUGAACAACAAUCGGAAGCUCUCGUUGCAAAUAGGAGGCGCUGCUAAUAACAACAGCUUUAUUUACAAAAACCAGCUGAACAAUACAAACGAGGUCACGUCGAAUCCCGCUUCGCCGGCCAUCCAUAACAAUAUUCAUAACUUAGAAACCACAACCGCCAGCAAUCCAUCAACGCCCACGAAAAGCUACGACAAUAUCAUAGGCUCAUUGGGUAGUCUCAGAUAUCAAAAGAACUCAUUGUCUUCCACAAAUGGUGGACUGCAGGCAAAUAUAAAUUCGAACAGUGAAUUAAAAAGCGUUGAUUUAUUGAAGAAGGCUGCAGCAUUACAAAUGUUAAAUGGACUUCCGAACGUCAACAAUAGGAUGAGUUCUGAGUCGAUAGCGAACUUGUUAACUAAGGGUAUGGAUCAGAAACCUACGGUGUUGGGUUCGGAACCCAACUUAGCGCUUAAGAAUCAAGAACCUGUAAAGGAUAUUAACACGUCUACUGAGAAACUGAACUGCUUAGAGAAUAAGCAGAAGAGGUACAGCCUCAGUCAGGAGAGUAAAAAGGAGAACCAGGAUUUUUACAACUUCCCGAGCUUGAGCGAUUUGAGCUUUAAUUUUACUAGUUUAGCCGCUCAGAAGAUAUUGAAAGGGGUCAGUAUAAACAGUGUAGAUACGCUUGUCGAGCUCAACAUGGCAGCAAACAAUUCGGAGAAGCAAAACAACCGUGAGGUAGCUGCCGUCUGCACGGACUUCGGUCUUGUAUAGUAUCAUCUAACUAUUGUUAAUUUUGUUAAAAUGUACAAUAUUAGUGUUAACACAGAUGUAAGGUAGUUAGUUGUGUAACUUAUUCGUAACUACUUUAACAUGCUCUAGAUACGCACUACGUUUAGUUUGAACCUUGUACUCGUUUUUAGAUUUUGUACUCCCAAUUUAUCAAAUUAUCUUUUAAUACCUAUAUCCUUCUAAUGAAUUUGUUUGUCUACUAACUUAACGAGAAUAUCUUCUUAGAAAUUAUGUAACGCAGUAUUCAUAUUCCAUGUAAUCUUCGAGCCGUAUUCAGUAAAUUCUUAGUUUGUAGCUCAGAGGAGUUAACGGGACAAUAAAAUGUAUACCAUCAGGUGGCCUAAUAUUUGGAAAACUUAGUGCCUGAGUCAAUUGCAAUAAUGUAAUUUCGAUUUAAAUUUUAGCAGUAAUAACCUCACUAGUAGCACAUAUCUUCAUCACACUAAUAAUUCAUAAUUUUAAUUAGGAAAUGUUGCCCUGAUCAGCACCCACUCGUGCCAUCACCUCCAGUGAAGUUGAGUACAAACUAGAAUACAUCUCCAAUAAACAGAGUCCAUCCAAAACGGGAAUUUAUAGGAACAAUAUGUAAAAUGUAUGUCAUGUUUAAGUGCCAUAAAAACCAUAGUAUUACGCUUGAGGUCGGCGAACCAGGCAAAAGGAAUUGAUAAUGGUACAUUGGUCCGUUGUAACAAGAUUUGAGGUGGUGUGGCAGUUUUGUAGAAUAUCAACACAACUCAAACAUCACAAACAGAGAUGUGCUGUUCCUGAGAAUGUUCACAAGGUGGAAAUGUUCUCGUUGUAAAAACUCUUUAAUAAUAACGAUGCUGGCCGCUUCUUUCAAAUUGAUCUUUUUUGUACUCUGGUCUUAUUUGCCUAAAGGUUAGGUAAUGAAGGGUGGUAUUAAUAAACUAAUCUCUGCUUUGAGACUGCCCUCAAGAUCAUGUCAUGUGACAGUUCUUAUAUAAAAACAGCGACUUGAGCAUCAUCUUGAGGGCAGUCUCAGCUGAGAUUGAUUUGUUAAUACCACCCUAGGUUCUUUAUGCAUAAGUUUUGCGCAUUAUUACUGCCGAAAACGCUCCCAAAAUGGGAAAAUUCCCGGGAAUUGCACAUCACUGAUCACAAAGGAGUUUUAGAAACUUUACAAUGUACAGUCAUGAGCAAUAUCAUGUACCCACUUUAGAACCCUGUCGCACUAUCAUAUUUGACAUUUAGUGAGACUUACGGUUUAAUUUGUCAAAAAAUUAAUGUGACAUGGUUCCAAAGUGUAUCAUAUUAGUA
This 4723-nucleotide unclassified non-coding RNA is filed under the name Pectinophora gossypiella (pink bollworm). RNAcentral describes it as "uncharacterized LOC126367012". Lineage: Eukaryota; Metazoa; Arthropoda; Insecta; Lepidoptera; Gelechiidae. The record is from RNAcentral.